CCUACGGGGGGCAGCAGUGAGGAAUAUUGGUCAAUGGACGAGAGUCUGAACCAGCCAAGUAGCGUGAAGGAUGACUGCCCUAUGGGUUGUAAACUUCUUUUAUAUGGGAAUAAAAUGUUCCACGUGUGGGAUUUUGUAUGUACCAUAUGAAUAAGGAUCGGCUAACUCCGUGCCAGCAGCCGCGGUAAUACGGAGGAUCCGAGCGUUAUCCGGAUUUAUUGGGUUUAAAGGGAGCGUAGGUGGAUUGUUAAGUCAGUUGUGAAAGUCUGCGGCUCAACCGUAAAAUUGCAGUUGAAACUGGCAGUCUUGAGUACAGUAGAGGUGGGCGGAAUUCGUGGUGUAGCGGUGAAAUGCUUAGAUAUCACGAAGAACUCCGAUUGCGAAGGCAGUUCACUGGACUGCAACUGACACUGAGGCUCGAAAGUGUGGGUAUCAAACAGGAUUAGAUACCCGGGUAGUC
RNAcentral lists this ribosomal RNA (460 nucleotides) under uncultured bacterium. RNAcentral describes it as "partial 16S ribosomal RNA". It matches the Rfam family "Bacterial small subunit ribosomal RNA", at positions 338 to 795 of the family's 1533-position model. The record is from RNAcentral.